UUUCCCUCAAAUUUUUUUUUUGAUUCAUGUUAAAUUAAAGUUAUAGUUUUGUUCUCUUGUAAAUGAUCUUCAGCUCUUUUGAGCAUGUGGGUUCUUAUUCUUUUGGCUUUUGGAUCAUCACUGCUGCGGUUUAUGUGUUGAGCUCGUGUCGUUUUGGUUUGGCUUGGCUUGGCAUACUGGGUUCACUAAAAUUUGCAGCAGGCUCUGUCUUUUUCUCUGUCCUUUUUUUUUUGUCUUUUCUAAUUUGGGAUUAUUUAGUUUUAAAUUUGUCUUAAUUUCAUUUAAGUAAAAUUAACGAAAGCUUUCAUUGUGAUCGAAACCCCGAACUUCCGGACUUGUAUGGAUAAUUUAGUUCCGUGUUUGUGUAGCUUGUGUUCAAGAUAAGUGAUUUUAUUUUAAUUAUUCGUUAUUAUUAUUAUUAUUAUUAUUUUUUUUUUCUUUUGCUUAUUCGGAAGGGAAUCUGGCUGUAAGCUUCUGUUAAAAGCUAUUACACUUUUUUUAUUUUUUUUGGGGGGGGGGGGGUGGGUUUGCCGUUUAUGUAUUUUAGUUCCAACUGUAGGCAGAUCUGGGCUCUGGUAAUGUGGUGGUCAUUUUUUUUUUUAAUAAAUUUCGUUUUGUUAAAAGCUCUUGACACAUUAAUUUGUUGUAAUUUUGUUUUUUGUUACAUUUAUUAUUUUAUUACUUGCCUUGUUUAUCUAAUUAAUGGGUUUAUGGGAAUUUGUACUUGGGGUUAUAUGUCUUUGAAUAGAAGUUGAUACAGAUUCACUGUACCGGGUUUAUCUAAGCUGGAACUGAUUUGUUUUAUUUAUUUAAUUUGCAGGACUUGACGGUUAAUGUAUAUUUCUAUAUUCUGAAUUGCAGAGUUCUCUGUUUUCAAGUUAUUUGUGGAGUACUUUUGUGCAUUUGUUGGUCGAGAGGGAGA
RNAcentral lists this long non-coding RNA (922 nucleotides) under Citrus maxima (pomelo). RNAcentral describes it as "long non-coding RNA (CMAX_LNC001328)". Lineage: Eukaryota; Viridiplantae; Streptophyta; Magnoliopsida; Sapindales; Rutaceae. The record is from RNAcentral.